RNAcentral lists this ribosomal RNA (253 nucleotides) under uncultured bacterium. Its description in RNAcentral is "partial 16S ribosomal RNA". It matches the Rfam family "Bacterial small subunit ribosomal RNA", at positions 524 to 776 of the family's 1533-position model. The record is from RNAcentral.
UACAGAGGUCGCAAGCGUUGUUCGGAUUCAUUGGGCGUAAAGGGUGCGUAGGCGGCGCGGUAAGUCGGGCGUGAAAUCUCGGAGCUUAACUCCGAAACUGCAUUCGAUACUGCCGUGCUUGAGGACUGGAGAGGAGACUGGAAUUUACGGUGUAGCGGUGAAAUGCGUAGAUAUCGUAAGGAAGACCAGUGGCGAAGGCGGGUCUCUGGACAGUUACUGACGCUGAGGCACGAAGGUCAGGGGAGCAAACGGG